UACGGAGGGUGCAAGCGUUGUUCGGAAUCACUGGGCGUAAAGGGCGUGUAGGCGGUCCGCUAAGUCUGAUGUGAAAGCCCGGGGCUCACCCCCGGAAGGGCAUUGGAAACUGGCGGACUCGAGUCUCGGAGAGGAAGGUGGAAUUCCUGGUGUAGCGGUGAAAUGCGUAGAUAUCAGGAGGAACACCAAUGGCGAAGGCGGCAUCCUGGACCGGCAUUGACGCUGAGGAGCGAAAGCCAGGGGAGCAAACGGG
Molecule: ribosomal RNA, 253 nt
Filed under: uncultured bacterium
Lineage: Bacteria
Description: partial 16S ribosomal RNA
Rfam family: Bacterial small subunit ribosomal RNA
Source: RNAcentral